GAUGGACGCUGGCGGCGUGCCUAAUACAUGCAAGUCGAGCGAACGGACGAGAAGCUUGCUUCUCUGAUGUUAGCGGCGGACGGGUGAGUAACACGUGGAUAACCUACCUAUAAGACUGGGAUAACUUCGGGAAACCGGAGCUAAUACCGGAUAAUAUUUUGAACCGCAUGGUUCAAAAGUGAAAGACGGUCUUGCUGUCACUUAUAGAUGGAUCCGCGCUGCAUUAGCUAGUUGGUAAGGUAACGGCUUACCAAGGCAACGAUGCAUAGCCGACCUGAGAGGGUGAUCGGCCACACUGGAACUGAGACACGGUCCAGACUCCUACGGGAGGCAGCAGUAGGGAAUCUUCCGCAAUGGUCGAAAGCCUGACGGAGCAACGCCGCGUGAGUGAUGAAGGUCUUCGGAUCGUAAAACUCUGUUAUUAGGGAAGAACAUAUGUGUAAGUAACUGUGCACAUCUUGACGGUACCUAAUCAGAAAGCCACGGCUAACUACGUG
This 497-nucleotide ribosomal RNA is filed under the name uncultured bacterium. Its description in RNAcentral is "partial 16S ribosomal RNA". It matches the Rfam family "Bacterial small subunit ribosomal RNA", at positions 28 to 507 of the family's 1533-position model. The record is from RNAcentral.